GCUGAUGUGGUAUAGUGGUUUGAGCAUUGGACUAUGACUCUGCAGAUCAGGGUUCGAAUCCCAGCCCAGCC
Non-coding RNA from Phrynosoma platyrhinos (Desert horned lizard), 71 nucleotides. NCBI's taxonomy places the organism in Eukaryota, Metazoa, Chordata, Lepidosauria, Squamata, Phrynosomatidae. The record is from the annotation of a GenBank genome assembly.